This is a long non-coding RNA of Synchiropus splendidus (mandarinfish), 201 nucleotides long. RefSeq lists it as uncharacterized. The record is from RefSeq and is a predicted model, not a curated record. The transcript is spliced from 3 exons. NCBI's taxonomy places the organism in Eukaryota, Metazoa, Chordata, Actinopteri, Syngnathiformes, Callionymidae.
CGCUCGUUGAUUCUUUAACUCACCAGACGCCUCAGCUGAUAGGAGAUACAAAGACAACGAGCACGCCACACCUUUUACCUGUCGCUUCAACACCAACACCAACACCAACGUUUGCUCUCCCCUCUGGGUCUUGGCCUUUGUGGGAGACAUCGACGCCGGUUUCCUCAGUACCUCUGGAUCUACUAUCCGGACCGUUCCCUG